GUCUGUGUAGAUUAUAUAAAUCGUGAUGCUGUUAACUUCAAGAAGGAAUACGUUUCCACAGUCG
Molecule: transfer RNA, 64 nt
Filed under: Rhinebothrium megacanthophallus
Lineage: Eukaryota; Metazoa; Platyhelminthes; Cestoda; Rhinebothriidea; Rhinebothriidae
Description: tRNA-Asn
Source: RNAcentral